GACGAACGCUGGCGGCGUGCUUAACACAUGCAAGUGGUGCGACGAACCAGGGCUUGCCCUGGGGCAAAGCCGCGAACGGGUGAGUAACACGUGAGUAACCUGCCUCGAUGACCGGGACAACCCGAGGAAACUCGGGCUAAUACCGGAUGUAGUGCACGGACUUAAGUCUGUGUACCAAAGGAAGCUUCGGCCUCCGCAUUGGGAGGGGCUCGCGGCCCAUUAGCUUGUUGGUGGGGUAACGGCCUACCAAGGCAACGAUGGGUAGCUGGUCUGAGAGGACGAUCAGCCACACUGGGACUGAGACACGGCCCAGACUCCUACGGGAGGCAGCAGUGGGGAAUCUUGCGCAAUGCGCGAAAGCGUGACGCAGCAACGCCGCGUGGGGGAAGACGGCCUUCGGGUUGUAAACCCCUUUCAGGGGGGACGAAGGUUCACCGGUUAAUAGCCGUGUGGAUUGACGGUACCUCCAGAAGAAGCUCCGGCUAACUACGUGC
This 494-nucleotide ribosomal RNA is filed under the name uncultured bacterium. RNAcentral describes it as "bacterial SSU rRNA". It matches the Rfam family "Bacterial small subunit ribosomal RNA", at positions 28 to 508 of the family's 1533-position model. The record is from RNAcentral.